GACGAACGCUGGCGGCGUGCUUAACACAUGCAAGUCGAACGGAAAGGCCCUGCUUUUGUGGGGUGCUCGAGUGGCGAACGGGUGAGUAACACGUGAGUAACCUGCCCUUGACUUUGGGAUAACUUCAGGAAACUGGGGCUAAUACCGGAUAGGAGCUCCUGCUGCAUGGUGGGGGUGGGAAAGUUUCGGCGGUUGGGGAUGGACUCGCGGCUUAUCAGCGUGUUGGUGGGGUAGUGGCUUACCAAGGCUUUGACGGGUAGCCGGCCUGAGAGGGUGACCGGCCACAUUGGGACUGAGAUACGGCCCAGACUCCUACGGGAGGCAGCAGUGGGGAAUAUUGCACAAUGGGCGGAAGCCUGAUGCAGCAACGCCGCGUGCGGGAUGACGGCCUCCGGGUUGUAAACCGCUUUCGCCUGUGACGAAGCGUGAGUGACGGUAAUGGGUAAAGAAGCACCGGCUAACUACGUG
Molecule: ribosomal RNA, 468 nt
Filed under: uncultured bacterium
Lineage: Bacteria
Description: partial 16S ribosomal RNA
Rfam family: Bacterial small subunit ribosomal RNA
Source: RNAcentral